GGGGUAGGGCGUUAACUACUACCCCGCUUUAAUGCGGCCCGUUUUGAUACGGCAGGUUACAAGCCCUGGUAAACGCAGAGUAGAGC
This 86-nucleotide non-coding RNA is filed under the name unclassified sequences. The record is from RNAcentral.